AUACGUAGGGGGCGAGCGUUGUCCGGAAUGAUUGGGCGUAAAGGGCGCGUAGGCGGCCCGGUAAGUCUGGAGUGAAAGUCCUGUUUUUAAGAUGGGAAUUGCUUUGGAUACUGUCGGGCUUGAGUGCAGAAGAGGUAAGCGGAAUUCCCAGUGUAGCGGUGAAAUGCGUAUAGAUUGGGAGGAACACCAGUGGCGAAGGCGGCUUACUGGGCUGUAACUGACGCUGAGGCGCGAAAGCGUGGGGAGCGAACAGGAUUAGAUACCCUGGUAGUCCACGCGGUAAACGAUGAAUGCUAGGUGUUGCGGGUAUCGACCCCUGCAGUGCCGGAGUAAACACAAUAAGCAUUCCGCCUGGGGAGUACGGCCGCAAGGUUGAAACUCAAAGGAGUUGACGGGG
This 397-nucleotide ribosomal RNA is filed under the name uncultured bacterium. RNAcentral's name for it is "partial 16S ribosomal RNA". It matches the Rfam family "Bacterial small subunit ribosomal RNA", at positions 523 to 918 of the family's 1533-position model. The record is from RNAcentral.